AUUAAUUUGGCAGAAUAGUGCGUUGGAUUUAGAAUCUUUUUAUGUUUAUAAACAAUUAAUA
RNAcentral lists this transfer RNA (61 nucleotides) under Tenebrionoidea sp. 10 KM-2017. RNAcentral describes it as "tRNA-Leu". The record is from RNAcentral. Lineage: Eukaryota; Metazoa; Arthropoda; Insecta; Coleoptera.